GCCUGGGUGGCUCACUCUGUUGAGCGUCUGACUUUGGCUUAGGUCAUGAUUUCUCUGUUUGUGGGUUCGAGCCCCACCUUGGGCU
This 85-nucleotide transfer RNA is filed under the name Felis catus (domestic cat). It matches the Rfam family "tRNA". Rfam says of the family: Transfer RNA (tRNA) molecules are approximately 80 nucleotides in length. Their secondary structure includes four short double-helical elements and three loops (D, anti-codon, and T loops). Lineage: Eukaryota; Metazoa; Chordata; Mammalia; Carnivora; Felidae. RNAcentral also lists the same sequence under 2 other names. The record is from Rfam by way of RNAcentral.